GGGCGGUUGGCUCAGGGGGAGAGCGCUUCCUUGACACGGAAGAGGUCAUAGGUUCAAAUCCUAUACCGCCCACCA
RNAcentral lists this transfer RNA (75 nucleotides) under Armatimonadota bacterium. RNAcentral describes it as "Armatimonadetes bacterium (anaerobic digester metagenome) tRNA-Val". It matches the Rfam family "tRNA". From Rfam's summary of the family: Transfer RNA (tRNA) molecules are approximately 80 nucleotides in length. Their secondary structure includes four short double-helical elements and three loops (D, anti-codon, and T loops). The record is from RNAcentral. Lineage: Bacteria; Bacillati; Armatimonadota.